UAAUACGAAUGGGGCAAGCGUUGUUCGGAAUCACUGGGCUUAAAGCGUGCGUAGGCGGACUUGCAAGUCAGGAGUGAAAUCCCAGGGCUUAACCCUGGAAUUGCUUUUGAAACUGCAAGUCUAGAAGAUUGAAGAGGUUAGCAGAAUUCCGAGUGUAGAGGUGAAAUUCGCAGAUAUUCGGAGGAAUACCAAUGGCGUAGGCAGCUAACUGGGCAAUUUUUGACGCUGAGGCACGAAAGCGUGGGGAGCAAACAGG
Molecule: ribosomal RNA, 256 nt
Filed under: uncultured archaeon
Lineage: Archaea
Description: partial 16S ribosomal RNA
Rfam family: Bacterial small subunit ribosomal RNA
Source: RNAcentral